Molecule: ribosomal RNA, 549 nt
Filed under: uncultured bacterium
Lineage: Bacteria
Description: bacterial SSU rRNA
Rfam family: Bacterial small subunit ribosomal RNA
Source: RNAcentral
AGGGAAUCUUCGGCAAUGGGGGCAACCCUGACCGAGCAACGCCGCGUGAGUGAAGAAGGUUUUCGGAUCGUAAAGCUCUGUUGUAAGUCAAGAACGAGUGUGAGAGUGGAAAGUUCACACUGUGACGGUAGCUUACCAGAAAGGGACGGCUAACUACGUGCCAGCAGCCGCGGUAAUACGUAGGUCCCGAGCGUUGUCCGGAUUUAUUGGGCGUAAAGCGAGCGCAGGCGGUUUGAUAAGUCUGAAGUUAAAGGCUGUGGCUCAACCAUAGUUCGCUUUGGAAACUGUCAAACUUGAGUGCAGAAGGGGAGAGUGGAAUUCCAUGUGUAGCGGUGAAAUGCGUAGAUAUAUGGAGGAACACCGGUGGCGAAAGCGGCUCUCUGGUCUGUAACUGACGCUGAGGCCCGAAAGCGUGGGGAGCGAACAGGAUUAGAUACCCUGGUAGUCCACGCCGUAAACGAUGAGUGCUAGGUGUUGGAUCCUUUCCGGGAUUCAGUGCCGCAGCUAACGCAUUAAGCACUCCGCCUGGGGAGUACGACCGCAAGGUUG